GCUUCUUAAAUUUGAUCAUCAAUUUUAGGUCAUUUAACAUGAUUGAAUGCUCUACUUGCAUGAUAUUGGUUAAAAUGGUGGUGGAUUUCAUUUUGAUUAAUCAAGCUUGAUUGCAUAAAAAUACCUAAAGAGGACCACUACAAGCCUAUUCUCUAUUAUUUUCUUUGUGUGACAUGUACUCAUAGCAAUUGAAACUCUAGAACUUGCUUAGUUUCUUUUCAAAGUCACAAUAGCAUAUGUGUGCAUGGAGAUCAAGGAAAUUUAUCACUCUUGUUCCAUCAUGAUUUCCCAUUUCUUUCUCCACAAUUUUCUUGAAACAUUUUCAUCUAGCAUUCUAAUUCCUAAUUCUCUUUGCUUGUCAUAUUUCUUUUAUUUCGUUGAGAGUUUUGGAUUAAUUGCUUGAUGAGUUAGCUUGACCAAGAUAUGGACAAAGGUUAAGUGUGGGGGAAGAUGCAUAUGCUUUGAGUACAUAGAGGAUCUCUUGUGUAAAUUAUUUGGGAAAUUUUGGGAUUAUGAAAUCAAUCCGACUUAAGGGGGAAAUAGAUGUGGAGAUUUGAGUUCAAGAUUACGUGGUUGAACUUAGAUAAUGAGUUUUGGAUGAUGGCUGUGGAAUUCUAGAUAGGAACUUGUUAUAGAAAAUGACAGCUGUUGGAGUCAACGAACUUUGUUUUGAAGCUACAGAUUAAAGCAACAAUUCAUAGAUACUAGCUCCAAUUCCAGGAAAUCUGGACUUUUGUUUCUGCAGUGGAUUGAAUUUCUUGUGCCAACUGCCAAUAUUGUUUCUGAUAAGAAAUAUUAUCACUGAUUCUUUGAUCAGUAACAAAAUCUGGAUGCAGAAAUGAAUUUCAGAUUUCAGAUUAUGCACUACAAAUUCUAUUUUGUGUCACCUUCUCUUGUGAACUUCCUGGACAGUGACUAAUCCAAGUUAAAUGUCAAAUUUGAAAUGUUAUUUUGUUCAUGCUAUAUUCGAAUAUGCAGAGAAUGUAUAAAAAUCUGCAGCAGAAACGGAGGAAGGCAGUGAUGAAUUUCAAUUUAUGAAGUGAUAUUUUAUUCAAGGAUUAUAAUCUCAACUUUGAAAUGGAACCAAUGAGAAUAAAAGGAGGCGUUUGCUGUAAAAACAGAAAAUCUGAUCAGGAAAGAGGAAAUGUUGUAAACUGCAGCAAUGAGAAGAUGUGCCAGUUCGUGCCAAUCUACAAGCUAUUUUCUGAUCAGUAUUGUUUUGAAUUUAAGCUCCAUUCACUUUAAUGCUAAGUGAGUCCUAGUUCUGAUUUCUUGAAAGACAUGCUCAAUUCUGAACAUUUCUGCUAUGCAGGAAUGAGAAGUUGGAAUUUAAUUGGAUUUGAUUACUAACCUGAAUUCUUGAUUGAUACAAUUGAUUCUCUAUUGUAAUGUAAGAGCAAACAAGAGUGAUGAACUCAAGUGAAGUCUUGUUUUAUGCAGAAACUAAAACUGUAACAGAAAUGAAAGGCUACUGGAACUAAGCUUCAUAUUGCUACUGCAUGGGUUUCAGAAGCUAAUUACAUUUAUUGAGAGCUAGCUAUGGUAUAUCAAAAUUCAGAAGCAAUAUCAAGUUGAGGAGAAGAUCUUGUGAAAUUCUAAAGUGUGAAGAAACAAAUGGUAAUCUCGCAUCAAAUUAAUGAAAGAACAUAAAUGUGCAGGAAAUCUAAUCAGGCUGCAAGAAAUGACAGUACUGAUACUUGAUGUGUCAUUCCGUGUGCCAACUGAAAUGCCAUGUCUUGCUGUGACAGAAUUGAAAUCUGUUAAUGCUGGAAUUUCAGAAGUGGUUUCUCAAGUUCUGUUCAUAUUUAACAGAUAUCUGUUUCAAUGUAAAGUGAAAACACAUUUAAAGAAGUUGAGGAGACAAGUAGCUGAUUCAGAAAUAACUAUCUAUUCUGCUGGAUCUAAAUCUGAUUUCAGAAAUGGACAUAAUUGCAGAAUUAUUCCGAGUUUGUGAAACUGGCAGUGAGCAUAUUACAGUCCUAUACUCUUGUAACAAAUGCAACUUCCUUUCAAGCCGAUCAUUGCAGGAAUUUGAUUUUUGAAACUGUGUACUCAGUUUUCUGCAUAAACAGAGUACAGAAAUUGCAGGAAUUUGAGAUUACAAAAAUUGAUCAUUGCAGGAAUUUAGAGGUGGAGAUUUAGUAUUGGUGGAGGUCUAUAGCAUUUGGAAGUUGAGAAUCCAAACUCAAAAUUUCUACAGAAAUGAAACCUACAAGGUGAGUGUAGCUGCUAGAAGUUGAUCAUGUUGUAUCAAGUUUGUACCAAAAUCCCAUUAGCAGUACGCAAAUCAGAGAGAGUUAAGUGAAGAUUAUAUAUUUUUAGGCAACAAAUGGAGUUCAUUCAUUUCUUUCAGGAAUUGUUCAGGUAUGAAGGUUGAUAUUUAGAACUUAUUGGAGAUAAAAGUGCUUUGUUUGAAUUCUACAAGAGUUGCUUAUUGCUACUUGACCUUGUUGCUAGAAAGAGUUUCGGAUGAAUAUGUAAAAUUCAGGAAUUGUUGAAAGCAAGAUGUUGCUGAGCUUGCAUCCUUAAUUUUCUGAAUCAAUGUGUUGUAUUUCCAUAAGAGGGCUCUGAAAUUCAGUAUAGAACUGAAAUCUGUUGCUGCUGAAUACUUGCUUGCUGAUUUCUGGAAUUUGAUAGCUGCACUUCAGUAGAAUUCAUUUUGAAUGCUGCUGGAAGAAGUUUGUAUUUCCCUGGUUCAUUGAAAAUGAGCUAAAGAUUUCAAUAUCUAGUUUCAUUGAAUCUGAGUAUUAGUCAUUCUUUGCUGCUUAACUUCUGCAAUUUUGAAUUUUUUCUACUGCAAUGGUGAGAAACUUGUAACUGUAAAGCACCACAGGAACAGAGGAAGAGAAAAAUCAGAACCUGCAGCAGAAGAGAAAAUCAUAACAGUGUUCAAAGAGUGUUAAAAAUUGGAAAGCUUGAUAUUGUCCGAGACGGCCAAAUUUUAAGUGUAGGGGAGGAAGCUCUUCUCCAUGAGAUGAUUUGAGAUUAUUUUUGAGUUUCAAAGUGCUGAAA
Molecule: long non-coding RNA, 3012 nt
Organism: Zingiber officinale
Lineage: Eukaryota; Viridiplantae; Streptophyta; Magnoliopsida; Zingiberales; Zingiberaceae
Exons: 2
Source: RefSeq, a predicted model, not a curated record